Long non-coding RNA from Eubalaena glacialis (North Atlantic right whale), 1490 nucleotides. RefSeq lists it as uncharacterized. The record is from RefSeq and is a predicted model, not a curated record. NCBI's taxonomy places the organism in Eukaryota, Metazoa, Chordata, Mammalia, Artiodactyla, Balaenidae. The transcript is spliced from 3 exons.
GGCCGACUGUAAAUGCGUUCGUCAUCCUGCCGGCCAAUCAAAGGGAGCGCAGGGCCGCCUAGACGCACCCCUCUCCGCCGACGGGUCUCCAGUUCCCGCCGCGCGCUCUGGCCCCUUACGUAAGAACCACCGUGACCUCUCACUUCACCUCCCGCGCUGGAACUCUUUCCCGGAUUCGCCAACUGCUGCGGUUCUCUUGGGUGCUGCUUCCGGUCGCGAGGCCUGCCACGUGAUGCCAACCCAGGGGCGGGAGGAAGCCCGAGGUUCUGGGUGUUGAUUAUGUAACUGUCCAAACCGGUAGAAAUAUACUUUGACCUUUUGCUCACUUCGGAACCCUGAAUACAGACUGAACAGAACCAGAAAGUCUUCAGAGACAGAUCUUCACAUCCUCUCUGUUUUUCAAGCACCUUCAAAAGACAAGAAAACCUGUAAGACAGGAAUCUGAUGCUUAAUCUGAAGGAUGCUCAGGCCAAGAUCUAUUUACUCUUGACCCUUCACCCUUGAACCCCCAAGGGGGUUAGGGGUGCUGACCCUCCUCAUAGUCUAAACUCCGAGUAUAACUUAUAGUCGGCCCUCCCUAUACUUGGCUCCUCUAUAUCCAUGGUUCUGCAUCCUCAGGUUCGAGCAACUGUGGAUGUGGAUUGUGUAGCACUGUAGUAUUUACUAUUGAAAAACACCCAGGGCUUCCCUGGUGGUGCAGUGGUUAAGAAUCUUCCUGCCAAUGCAGGGGACAUGGGUUCGAGCCCUGGUCCGGGAAGAUCCCACAUGCCGCGGAGCAACUAAGCCCAUGUGCCACGACUACUGAGCCUGUGCUCUAGAGCCUGCGAGCCACAACUACUGAGCCCAUGCGCCACAACUACUGAAGCCUGUGCGCCUGGAGCCUGUGCUCCGCAACAAGAGAAGCCACUGCAAUGAGCAGCCCGCACACCGCAACGAAGAGUAGCCCCCGCUCACCGCAACUAGAGAAAGCCCGCUCGCAGCAACGAAGACCCAACACAGCCGUAAAUAAAUAAAUGUUUAUUUAAAAAAAAAGAAAAGAAAGAAAAAAACCCACCUGUAAGCAGACCCUUGCAGUUCAAACUCAUGUUGUUCAAGGAUCAACUGUACUUGAAACCAUUCACUGAUGCAGCCUUUAUGAUGUAUGCAUAGACAAGGCAGUCGUGCUAUAGUAUCUCUCUGCUACAGGUCUUCAAGGCAUAUUCCACAUUCCCCAGCAUCUUUACUCAGUAUAUCCUUAGAUUACCAGUUGAUUAUAGAAGAAUAUUAGGAAUAUGGAGUCAGAUGGAAGAAAUGCAUAGGGCAAGGUUAUGUGGGAAGGGGCUUGAAGCUUCCAUCUCUUUUUUUUUAAUAAAAUUAUUUAUUUAUUUAUUUUUGCCUGCAUUGGGUCUUUGUUGCUGCACACGGGCUUUCUCUAGUUGCGGCGAGCGGGGGCUACUCUUCGUUGGCGGUGAGCAGGCUUCUCACUGUGGUGGCUUCUCUUGUUGCGGAAC